This 497-nucleotide ribosomal RNA is filed under the name uncultured bacterium. RNAcentral describes it as "partial 16S ribosomal RNA". It matches the Rfam family "Bacterial small subunit ribosomal RNA", at positions 28 to 507 of the family's 1533-position model. The record is from RNAcentral.
GAUGAACGCUGGCGGCGUGCCUAAUACAUGCAAGUCGAGCGAACGGACGAGAAGCUUGCUUCUCUGAUGUUAGCGGCGGACGGGUGAGUAACACGUGGAUAACCUACCUAUAAGACUGGGAUAACUUCGGGAAACCGGAGCUAAUACCGGAUAAUAUUUUGAACCGCAUGGUUCAAAAGUGAAAGACGGUCUUGCUGUCACUUAUAGAUGGAUCCGCGCUGCAUUAGCUAGUUGGUAAGGUAACGGCUUACCAAGGCAACGAUGCAUAGCCGACCUGUGAGGGUGAUCGGCCACACUGGAACUGAGACACGGUCCAGACUCCUACGGGAGGCAGCAGUAGGGAAUCUUCCGCAAUGGGCGAAAGCCUGACGGAGCAACGCCGCGUGAGUGAUGAAGGUCUUCGGAUUGUAAAACUCUGUUAUUAGGGAAGAACAUACGUGUAAGUAACUGUGCACAUCUUGACGGUACCUAAUCAGAAAGCCACGGCUAACUACGUG